CCUCACUUCCCACUCCCUCACAUCUCUUCUCAUAUCCCAGAAACACAGGGGAGCGAAGCCUUGCUUCUUUUCCUUCCUCGCCGAGGCAGAGGUCGGCCGAGCUGAGCCGGCCGGGCUGCACGUCGUCGUCUUCGUCGCAUUCCAUCCCUUCUCUCUACUUUCUCUUCCUGCAUGUAUCUCUUCUCUCUCUGGCCCUCCUAACACGUCCGUUUUACCUCGCAGAAAACCUUGGCGGCCGUCGCCGUCGAAGCUUAGUACGAGCCGUCGCCAUCGUCCAGCUUCUCCGUGUUGUUCUGUCCGUGCACCGUGCCCGCCGUCGUCAAUGCCAACGCCCGACCUCCCGCGAGUCAUACUUGAUGGACGACGUGAACUGCAGCGUCUCCGCGUUGCCUGCUCCAUCGCUAGGCACCUCCGCUAACCGCUUCGUCCGCAGCUACGCGGAACUCGCCUGCGGCCACGUCGUCGACGACCGUAGACCCGUCUGCACGUUCGCGUCGACGCCGGGAGGCCGUCACUGCAUGCGCACGUCGCCGACUGAGCCGCGCAGCCUCCGCCGAAUCCUUCAGCGGCGACCUCCAUCAUCUUCGACCACCGCCGGUAUCUUAUUAAGGUUUCUAUCCAGGAGCAUGUCCCGGAGGAGGCCGGCGGCACGAGCGAUGAGGUGACCAACGCGACAGUUGGGUCCCUGCAGGCAGCAGCACGAGGCAUCAAGCAAAGGUUAUAUCCCUUCUCUUCUGAGGAAAUCAAGUGAGAAAAAUGAGCAUUCUUGGUUAGUUGUGGCUUGGUUGACUGCUGAAGAUCUAGAGUACAACAGGGUUGUCUGUCAAUCAGCAGACCUCUCCACCCUUUUAGGUGUUUUUUCUAAUUCGUUAGCUGCAACUCUUUGGUGGUAGGGGAUGCUGGCAGGGCACAAGGUUGCAGCAGAGAAAGUUGGCGUGCUGUUCAGAUCUUGGGAGGUGGCUUUGGAUCAGAAAACUUAUGAGCUUAUUGGGACCGAUUAUCCUGGUAAUAUGACACUAAAGGAUAGUGGCAGCAGGUGAGGUUAUUUGGCAGCUUUGUAUAUGGCACAACUAGCAAGGAGGAAGGGAGUUGGAGACAAUGGUGGUGCAAACGAUCCUACAAUGAUCAUAUAGCGACAACAACAGUUAGUCUGCAAUCUGCAAGUAUCUGCUAGGUUGGAAGGAGUGGUGAUGGUCUUGUGACAGUUGCUGCUUGAGCCGAGUACUAUCGCCACCGUUCCACUGUUGAUGCUGACGAGAACAGGGUGGGGGCAAUGGCCCUGCCAGGCUUUCCAUUUGUCUUGUUUAUGGUUUGAUGGCAUGGUUCUACCUCAUUAUUGUACAGUGCAUUCAAACCUGUUGUUGCUUUCUUCCAACCCAGAUUCUUGUGUUUACGGUUGACACCUACUGGUAGUCCUCCUCAGUCCUAACCUGGAUGGUAGCGGAGGCGUGGAUGUUGCAGAUGGCUCCGAGGCGCUCGAGCAAAUGGCCCCUUCAUCUCCCGUCAAGUGAUCCAAGGAUGGGAGUGAAGCAUCAGUGUAAACCCAUUAUCGAAGUGGCCAUGGCUACGGAAGCCAGCCUGCACUUGAUCUCCAGAUUAUGUUGGAGAUUGUUAUCGUUUGAUCGUGUUUUGGUGGUUUACAGAGGAUGCGCACAUGGAAGGCGGCUUUCGUGGUGUGUGAUACACUGAUUUCUCACCUCAUGGCGUACAUGGUAGCGGGAAAGAUUUUUAUCGUCCGACCGCAUUUUGAAUGGCUAGGUGCAUAUGUAAUGGAUAUUCUGGCUCGGAUCUAUUAUUCAUGCCACAGUGGGGUGAGCUUAUCUUGAUCCUCUAGCGUGCAAGUGGAGUUGCGGCCAGAUGGUUGAUCCAGCAAUGGAGGGACUGUAUCGUGCAAAGUUUCUCUCUUGGUUCACCGAUGCGAUCGCCUGUUGUCCAGGGUCAGACGAAGCACGUAAAAGGCUUUUCUUGUGUCUCUGGCGGGACGAUCGGUAGGGCAGGCAGCGACCGCCACGUAAUAUGUGCGCAGAUGCUGUGUCGGGAAGAAAAGGGGCGGCGCUGGAGGAGACAUGCGGAUGCGGAAUCAGCUCGCGGCCACGCGGAGUUUGGUUGUGGUCCUGGGCGGAGAGCAGCCAGAGUGGGAGUGCCUCGCCAGGAUGGAUAAGAAAAAGGGAAAAGAGGAGAAGAGGAGUUCGCACCACCCCAAUCCCCUUUUCGACCAACUAGAGGUCAUACGGCGACCUCUUUUCAUCGGCAACUACACUGGUGUUGACUGCUGCGUCGACUCGAAGCAGGGUGGGACGAUUUGAUUUGUCUUGCUUCAACGUUUAUUUCCUUCUCUUCUCGCCCACGCAAUCUGGUUGAUCUGUUCGUCUGUUGCUUGCUUCUUCGGGAUAUUUAUUGUUGCCUCUUCUGCUCUCGGAAUAGAGGCCAUAUAAUAAAAGGCGAAGAGCGGCGGUAAGGAGUCAUGCUUACGACCGUGCUCAUGUGUUAGGUAAAUCUUGGAGUGAGCAGCGGAUGGCUGUGGCUGAUGGCGUGGAUGGCCAUGACGUUGUACUUGGUCAACGGAUUAGAGGGCGUGGAGAGAAUGGAGAAAGGUGUAGCAGAUCAGGACGAUAGGUUUAAGAGGAAGAGACUGGGUUGUUAACGCAAAUCGCGAUGGGGAUGGACGGUGUCGCUGAGAAUAGUGGUGGAAAUUGUCUACACGGGCAAUUAUUUGUUGGGCUGUUAACGCAAAUCACGAUGGGGAUGGACUCAUGGAUGGUAUCGCGGAGAAUAGUGGUAGAAAUUAUCUACGCGGAGCAACUAUUUGUAAUAGUUUCUGGUUCCGUGGUAUCGGUUAAGGGAGGCUCAAAAUGUCGAACCAAACUUUUCUCACUUGCUACUCACAAUAAGUAGAUACAUUCUUCUUGGAA
Molecule: RNA transcript, 2912 nt
Organism: Lolium perenne
Lineage: Eukaryota; Viridiplantae; Streptophyta; Magnoliopsida; Poales; Poaceae
Source: RefSeq, a predicted model, not a curated record